ACAUUCGUGAUGUAAUCGGUAGCAUGACGGUCUCCAAAACCGUUCGUCUGGGUUCGAGUCCUAGCGUUUGUGCCA
RNAcentral lists this transfer RNA (75 nucleotides) under Clostridiales bacterium. RNAcentral describes it as "tRNA-Trp". It matches the Rfam family "tRNA". Rfam says of the family: Transfer RNA (tRNA) molecules are approximately 80 nucleotides in length. Their secondary structure includes four short double-helical elements and three loops (D, anti-codon, and T loops). The record is from RNAcentral. Lineage: Bacteria; Bacillati; Bacillota; Clostridia; Eubacteriales.